RNAcentral lists this microRNA (21 nucleotides) under Ornithorhynchus anatinus (platypus). RNAcentral describes it as "Oan-Mir-128-P2_5p* (star (passenger))". The record is from RNAcentral. Lineage: Eukaryota; Metazoa; Chordata; Mammalia; Monotremata; Ornithorhynchidae.
CGGGGCCGAGACACUGUCUGA